This 253-nucleotide ribosomal RNA is filed under the name uncultured bacterium. RNAcentral's name for it is "partial 16S ribosomal RNA". It matches the Rfam family "Bacterial small subunit ribosomal RNA", at positions 524 to 776 of the family's 1533-position model. The record is from RNAcentral.
UACGUAGGGUGCGAGCGUUAAUCGGAAUUACUGGGCGUAAAGCGUGCGCAGGCGGUUUUAUAAGCCAGAUGUGAAAGCCCCGGGCUCAACCUGGGAAUGGCAUUUGGGACUGUAAGGCUGGAGUAUGGCAGAGGAGACUAGAAUUCCUGGUGUAGCAGUGAAAUGCGUAGAUAUCAGGAGGAAUACCGAUGGCGAAGGCAGGUCUCUGGGCCAAUACUGACGCCGAGGAGCGAAAGCGUGGGGAGCGAACAGG